AGUGAACGCUGGCGGUAGGCCUAACACAUGCAAGUCGAACGGCAGCACAGUAAGAGCUUGCUCUUACGGGUGGCGAGUGGCGGACGGGUGAGGAAUACAUCGGAAUCUACUUUUUCGUGGGGGAUAACGUAGGGAAACUUACGCUAAUACCGCAUACGACCUACGGGUGAAAGCAGGGGAUCUUCGGACCUUGCGCGAUUGAAUGAGCCGAUGUCGGAUUAGCUAGUUGGCGGGGUAAAGGCCCACCAAGGCGACGAUCCGUAGCUGGUCUGAGAGGAUGAUCAGCCACACUGGGACUGAGACACGGUCCAGACUCCUACGGGAGGCAGCAGUGGGGAAUAUUGGACAAAGGGCGCAAGCCUGAUCCAGCCAUACCGCGUGGGUGAAGAAGGCCUUCGGGUUGUAAAGCCCUUUUGUUGGGAAAGAAAAGCAGCAGGUUAAUACCCCGCUGUUCUGACGGUACCCAAAGAAUAAGCACCGGCUAACUUCGUG
This 492-nucleotide ribosomal RNA is filed under the name uncultured bacterium. Its description in RNAcentral is "partial 16S ribosomal RNA". It matches the Rfam family "Bacterial small subunit ribosomal RNA", at positions 29 to 507 of the family's 1533-position model. The record is from RNAcentral.